Molecule: long non-coding RNA, 580 nt
Organism: Nycticebus coucang (slow loris)
Lineage: Eukaryota; Metazoa; Chordata; Mammalia; Primates; Lorisidae
Exons: 2
Source: RefSeq, a predicted model, not a curated record
GAUUUUUGCAACCAAAAUUCUAUGUCCAGAAAGACCGACAGUUACUGAGAUGUUUGGGGGAAGGAUAUACCAGCUGCCAGUGAGACAGCCAUUAAUCAGCACAGCUGAAAUUUUUGGACACGAUCAUGCCUAAAGCAACAGGAAAGCAUACGUGAGAAUGGGUACAGGAAGUGUGAAAAACGGCACACGCGUCCUACUGCAGGUAAGAAACAGAAAUUACUGCUUAGUGUCCGCAUGUGGAGACGCACACAACACCAGGUGGCGUUUUUUCAAUUGAUGCAACUCAGUAAUUUUUAUUGCAACUGGAAGACAAUACAUCACAGAAACUUUAUGGUAGGUCUGGGGAAAAGUGUUAUUUACAAUAAAUGAUGAAAUAGUUUGUCUUUGGCAAUAUGAUUACAUACGAAGAAUGCAAAAUGCAAUUAGGGGUGCUUCCAAAGCAACACCAUCAGGUUCGGCUGACUGCGCCCGCCUCCAUGUCGUUUUUUUAGGUUAACACAAACGUAACUGAACAUCACUUUCUUCCUCCUUUAUGGUUUCUCCCUUUCUAUUCAUGAUAUUGGCAGUUUCGUACAGAAAA